AGUAUGCUCAUGGGAACCCAGCUGGAAAGUGCUGUGGAAGGACAAAUGGAGAAAAGUCUCCAGAAAUUGGCCUCGUUUGAAAGGACCUCAUGCAAAGAGAGAUCUUUGGAGACAUUUCAGAAAGAUCGUUCGCAGGUUAUAGAAGGAUUUAACACGUCAGGUAAGGUGGAAUUUGGUAAAUUCCCCAAAUUUACAAAUAGAUGAAAGUUGGGUAAAUUCCCCA
Molecule: long non-coding RNA, 223 nt
Filed under: Homo sapiens (human)
Lineage: Eukaryota; Metazoa; Chordata; Mammalia; Primates; Hominidae
Description: HSALNT0387053
Source: RNAcentral